Molecule: long non-coding RNA, 742 nt
Organism: Daphnia carinata
Lineage: Eukaryota; Metazoa; Arthropoda; Branchiopoda; Diplostraca; Daphniidae
Exons: 2
Source: RefSeq, a predicted model, not a curated record
GGAACGUGUCGACGUUUAUAUAAGGCGGUGGCCAACAAUUCAGUUCACAUUCUUGCAGGGAUCUUCCACUGCAAAUGUUGCCUUGGCACCAUCUUCAGACGCACCGCCCGUCAGUUUCGUUGUUAAAAACGAACGCAGACACCAUCCUGAAACCACAGAGGUAAAGUUGCUCGUAUCAUAUGUUUCAACGGACGAGAUGGCCUCCAAAUCGGAGAAAGCGUUUGCCAACAUUUGAUGACAGAUGCUAUACUGGAACAACUCCUGUAGUUGAGCCUUCCAGACAAGCUUUUAUUUUGAAGAAAGAUGAAAACGAGGGUGCUGACGUGUGUGGAGUAUUAUUAUUGGGGUCUUCUCACGGGCUCAUUGCUGCUCACUGUGUUACAGGAUAAUUGCUGUUGUUUAACUGUUGUCUAAAUUCAACUCAUCGAAAGGAAUGUAGUCUGUCACUAUUCUCUGGAAUACUAUCAAAGCGAACUUACAACGACAUUGCCCUCGUCAAAUUUGAAGGCCUUGUUGACUUUGCAGACAAAUACUGUAUGACAAAGUCAUCGGUUAGUAAAUGUCACUAAUUUACUUUUUGGUUGCUGUUUUUUUCUUUUUUACAUGGGGUUCAUGUAUCAUCAAGUUUUGCCACCUAUGUUCAUCCUUCACAUACCUUUUUGUUCUGGUGAUUUGUUCCCCCCGAAGUUAUCAGCACUGUGGAAUUCGGAAUUAUCUGCCACAGUCUGACUGUAAUGUUUCU